UACGUAGGGUGCAAGCGUUGUCCGGAAUUAUUGGGCGUAAAGAGCUCGUAGGCGGUUUGUCGCGUCUGCUGUGAAAACUCGGGGCUUAACUCCGGGCCUGCAGUGGGUACGGGCAGACUAGAGUGCGGUAGGGGAGACUGGAAUUCCUGGUGUAGCGGUGGAAUGCGCAGAUAUCAGGAGGAACACCGAUGGCGAAGGCAGGUCUCUGGGCCACUACUGACGCUGAGAAGCGAAAGCAUGGGGAGCGAACAGG
Molecule: ribosomal RNA, 253 nt
Filed under: uncultured bacterium
Lineage: Bacteria
Description: partial 16S ribosomal RNA
Rfam family: Bacterial small subunit ribosomal RNA
Source: RNAcentral